This 1280-nucleotide long non-coding RNA is filed under the name Lathyrus oleraceus (garden pea). Its description in RNAcentral is "Pisum sativum (pea) long non-coding RNA (PSAT_LNC028323)". The record is from RNAcentral. Lineage: Eukaryota; Viridiplantae; Streptophyta; Magnoliopsida; Fabales; Fabaceae.
UUACAGGAUCCAACAUAAAAUAUAUUAAAACAAAUUUUUUAUUAAAAAAACAUUGAACUUCAUCUUCUUCCUUGUAACGAUAACGUAACUUUAUUUUUUUUUAAAUCCAACUUCCUCGUUUUUGUACCAAAUCAAACAUAUGAAUAUAGCAUAUUGCUUAGAAUUUCAUGAGGAAUCCAAAUAUAACAUUAUUUUUCAUUUAUAUUGACUCUAACUCACGAAUUCGAACAAAACCAGAGAAUACCUAAUAUUUCAAAAUGAAAUUAAAUCGCAUAAAAGAUGAAUCAAUGCUCAUUUUCAUGGGGCUUUCAUUCCUCACAUCAUAACAAGCAUAAUGGUAACAAAAAUGAACAUAAAUGAUGCUUAAAUGGUAGAGUUUGAAAUAUGAAAUUUUUACCAAAUGGAGUAUAUCCGUUGUACCUUCAAAUGCACUUCCAGAUAAAAAUAAUGAUCCCUCUAGCUUCCUUGAGUUCCCAGGAGUUAAAUGGUGUGUUUAUAAUUACUUGAAACCUUCUAAAUCGUUCUGAAUGAAUCCACUUGUAAAUGGAAGAAAUGAAGUUUGGUUAUGGAUUUUGAGGUGCUACAACUCAUGUUUAAUGCAUACAAAAGCUUGUGGAAGGUAUAUGGAAGGUGUUUGUGGAGAAAAAAUGGAAGGAAAGUGAAUGAUGAUUAAAAAUUCAAAAAAUGACUUUAGUGGAGUUUUCAAGUUAUGGCACAAAGUGAUUGAGUUUGGAUGAGUUUUUUUUGUUUUCUGGUGUUUCUUCUUUUUUCUCUGUUUAGAUGAUGGAUGGAAUGCUGCAUUUAUAGAGAAUUGGAUUAACAAAGUUGGAGAAAUAUUUGGCAUUGUUCAAUGGAUAUUGAUCAAAAACCAAAAAUAUGGUGAAAGGUACAAGUAGCCUUUUGCUCUAACAUGGUUGCAAGUUGACAUUUUUGAGCUUUUUCUCUUGGUUGGACAAGCUACCUCUAGUAUCCAGAAUGGAUAUCAUAACUUGUUGAAGGAGUUUUUAUCCAAAAUCACUUCUCAUGUAGUGCAUAAAAUGUAAUUCAAGAUGGACCAUUGGAGCAAACUUUUGUUCCUUGAAUAGAGAUCAAUUUGGCUUAAGUUUGGUAUCAAUUUGCAGAUAUCAUGGGAUACUUCAAAUCUUAUGUUGAUAUCAUCAUAGGGAAAUGCUUGAAAAAUGCCCUAAGUUGCCUCCAAAUUUGUGUGAAUCAAACUGACCAAAACACUUAGAAAAAUUCUGGAUUUUUGGCCAUUGAUCAACAACUGUGACCUCCUUUUU